GGUUAAGCGACUAAGCGUACACGGUGGAUGCCCUGGCAGUCAGAGGCGAUGAAGGACGUGCUAAUCUGCGAUAAGCGUCGGUAAGGUGAUAUGAACCGUUAUAACCGGCGAUUUCCGAAUGGGGAAACCCAGUGUGUUUCGACACACUAUCAUUAACUGAAUCCAUAGGUUAAUGAGGCGAACCGGGGGAACUGAAACAUCUAAGUACCCCGAGGAAAAGAAAUCAACCGAGAUUCCCCCAGUAGCGGCGAGCGAACGGGGAGCAGCCCAGAGCCUGAAUCAGUGUGUGUGUUAGUGGAAGCGUCUGGAAAGGCGCGCGAUACAGGGUGACAGCCCCGUACACAAAAAUGCACAUGCUGUGAGCUCGAUGAGUAGGGCGGGACACGUGGUAUCCUGUCUGAAUAUGGGGGGACCAUCCUCCAAGGCUAAAUACUCCUGACUGACCGAUAGUGAACCAGUACCGUGAGGGAAAGGCGAAAAGAACCCCGGCGAGGGGAGUGAAAAAGAACCUGAAACCGUGUACGUACAAGCAGUGGGAGCACGCUUAGGCGUGUGACUGCGUACCUUUUGUAUAAUGGGUCAGCGACUUAUAUUCUGUAGCAAGGUUAACCGAAUAGGGGAGCCGAAGGGAAACCGAGUCUUAACUGUGCGUUAAGUUGCAGGGUAUAGACCCGAAACCCGGUGAUCUAGCCAUGGGCAGGUUGAAGGUUGGGUAACACUAACUGGAGGACCGAACCGACUAAUGUUGAAAAAUUAGCGGAUGACUUGUGGCUGGGGGUGAAAGGCCAAUCAAACCGGGAGAUAGCUGGUUCUCCCCGAAAGCUAUUUAGGUAGCGCCUCGUGAAUUCAUCUCCGGGGGUAGAGCACUGUUUCGGCAAGGGGGUCAUCCCGACUUACCAACCCGAUGCAAACUGCGAAUACCGGAGAAUGUUAUCACGGGAGACACACGGCGGGUGCUAACGUCCGUCGUGAAGAGGGAAACAACCCAGACCGCCAGCUAAGGUCCCAAAGUCAUGGUUAAGUGGGAAACGAUGUGGGAAGGCCCAGACAGCCAGGAUGUUGGCUUAGAAGCAGCCAUCAUUUAAAGAAAGCGUAAUAGCUCACUGGUCGAGUCGGCCUGCGCGGAAGAUGUAACGGGGCUAAACCAUGCACCGAAGCUGCGGCAGCGACACUAUGUGUUGUUGGGUAGGGGAGCGUUCUGUAAGCCUGUGAAGGUGUACUGUGAGGUAUGCUGGAGGUAUCAGAAGUGCGAAUGCUGACAUAAGUAACGAUAAAGCGGGUGAAAAGCCCGCUCGCCGGAAGACCAAGGGUUCCUGUCCAACGUUAAUCGGGGCAGGGUGAGUCGACCCCUAAGGCGAGGCCGAAAGGCGUAGUCGAUGGGAAACAGGUUAAUAUUCCUGUACUUGGUGUUACUGCGAAGGGGGGACGGAGAAGGCUAUGUUGGUCGGGCGACGGUUGUCCCGGUUUAAGCGUGUAGGCUGGUUUUCCAGGCAAAUCCGGAAAAUCAAGGCUGAGGCGUGAUGACGAGGCACUACGGUGCUGAAGCAACAAAUGCCCUGCUUCCAGGAAAAGCCUCUAAGCAUCAGGUAACAUCAAAUCGUACCCCAAACCGACACAGGUGGUCAGGUAGAGAAUACCAAGGCGCUUGAGAGAACUCGGGUGAAGGAACUAGGCAAAAUGGUGCCGUAACUUCGGGAGAAGGCACGCUGAUAUGUAGGUGAAGUCCCUCGCGGAUGGAGCUGAAAUCAGUCGAAGAUACCAGCUGGCUGCAACUGUUUAUUAAAAACACAGCACUGUGCAAACACGAAAGUGGACGUAUACGGUGUGACGCCUGCCCGGUGCCGGAAGGUUAAUUGAUGGGGUUAGCCGCAAGGCGAAGCUCUUGAUCGAAGCCCCGGUAAACGGCGGUACGUAACUAUAACGGUCCUAAGGUAGCGAAAUUCCUUGUCGGGUAAGUUCCGACCUGCACGAAUGGCGUAAUGAUGGCCAGGCUGUCUCCACCCGAGACUCAGUGAAAUUGAACUCGCUGUGAAGAUGCAGUGUACCCGCGGCAAGACGGAAAGACCCCGUGAACCUUUACUAUAGCUUGACACUGAACAUUGAGCCUUGAUGUGUAGGAUAGGUGGGAGGCUUUGAAGUGUGGACGCCAGUCUGCAUGGAGCCGACCUUGAAAUACCACCCUUUAAUGUUUGAUGUUCUAACGUUGACCCGUAAUCCGGGUUGCGGACAGUGUCUGGUGGGUAGUUUGACUGGGGCGGUCUCCUCCUAAAGAGUAACGGAGGAGCACGAAGGUUGGCUAAUCCUGGUCGGACAUCAGGAGGUUAGUGCAAUGGCAUAAGCCAGCUUGACUGCGAGCGUGACGGCGCGAGCAGGUGCGAAAGCAGGUCAUAGUGAUCCGGUGGUUCUGAAUGGAAGGGCCAUCGCUCAACGGAUAAAAGGUACUCCGGGGAUAACAGGCUGAUACCGCCCAAGAGUUCAUAUCGACGGCGGUGUUUGGCACCUCGAUGUCGGCUCAUCACAUCCUGGGGCUGAAGUAGGUCCCAAGGGUAUGGCUGUUCGCCAUUUAAAGUGGUACGCGAGCUGGGUUUAGAACGUCGUGAGACAGUUCGGUCCCUAUCUGCCGUGGGCGCUGGAGAACUGAGGGGGCUGCUCCUAGUACGAGAGGACCGGAGUGGACGCAUCACUGGUGUUCGGGUUGUCAUGCCAAUGGCACUGCCCGGUAGCUAAAUGCGGAAGAGAUAAGUGCUGAAAGCAUCUAAGCACGAAACUUGCCCCGAGAUGAGUUCUCCCUGACCCUUUAAGGGUCCUGAAGGAACGUUGAAGACGACGACGUUGAUAGGCCGGGUGUGUAAGCGCAGCGAUGCGUUGAGCUAACCGGUACUAAUGAACCGUGAGGCUUAACCUU
RNAcentral lists this ribosomal RNA (2905 nucleotides) under Escherichia coli. RNAcentral's name for it is "23S ribosomal RNA". It matches the Rfam family "Bacterial large subunit ribosomal RNA". The record is from RNAcentral. Lineage: Bacteria; Pseudomonadati; Pseudomonadota; Gammaproteobacteria; Enterobacterales; Enterobacteriaceae.